RNAcentral lists this long non-coding RNA (649 nucleotides) under Mus musculus (house mouse). RNAcentral's name for it is "RIKEN cDNA 1700113B09 gene". The record is from RNAcentral. Lineage: Eukaryota; Metazoa; Chordata; Mammalia; Rodentia; Muridae.
GAGCCAGGUAGAGUGGUGUCACCUUUAAUGCAGCACUUGGGAGGCAGAAGCAGGGAGAUCUCUGAGUUCCAAGACAACCAGGGCUACAAGGAGAAACCUUGUCUCAACAAAACCAAAAUUAAUUAAUCACAGAUUGGAAAUUAAUUAAUUAAGUGCCUCAUCGAACAAAAAUAAGUGAAGAGCUUAGGAAGGUCCUUAGGAAUGGCACUGGAGGAUGCCCUCUGACCUCCACAUGCGCACAUAAACACACAAAGUACAAUAAAUUUUAAUUAUUAAUUAACUAUAAACAGACUUGAGGGAAAUGAAUGAUGAGCUAGAGUGGUAGGCUGACUUAAAAUUAGAACAAGGCAGACUUCUUCCCCAACUGCUUCCCCAGGUUUCCCUGGGGAUUUGCAAACAUUUGCCAACCUCCCCUGUUUCCCAAGCCUGAACUUCAAAGGCCACAGAGGACUGCUGGCAUUUCCUGGUUCUGUGACACCCUGGUCCCCCCUGGUAUGAUGAAGCUCAGAGCCUGCCAGAGCUUCUUCUGGGAGCACUACACCAGACCACAUAACGCCCACGAGGCUACGGUUUCCUGGAAUCCCUCGCUGGAAUCCACGAGGAGUCACUGGGUCGAAUUCCUAAGACCUCCCGUUUGUGACCAGAAAGG